Molecule: ribosomal RNA, 493 nt
Filed under: uncultured bacterium
Lineage: Bacteria
Description: partial 16S ribosomal RNA
Rfam family: Bacterial small subunit ribosomal RNA
Source: RNAcentral
GACGAACGCUGGCGGCGUGCUUAACACAUGCAAGUCGAACGGUGAAGGGACCGGUUUUUGCUGGUUCUGGAUGAGUGGCGAACGGGUGAGUAACACGUGAGUAACCUGCCCCCUUCUUCUGGAUAACCGCAUGAAAGUGUGGCUAAUACGGGAUAUUCUGCGCCUGCUGCAUGGUGGGUGUGGGAAAGAUAUUGUUUCGGUGGGGGAUGGGCUCGCGGCCUAUCAGCUUGUUGGUGGGGUGAUGGCCUACCAAGGCGGUGACGGGUAGCCGGCCUGAGAGGGUGGACGGUCACACUGGGACUGAGACACGGCCCAGACUCCUACGGGAGGCAGCAGUGGGGAAUAUUGCACAAUGGGCGCAAGCCUGAUGCAGCGACGCCGCGUGAGGGAUGGAGGCCUUCGGGUUGUAAACCUCUUUCGCCAGUGAAGCAGGCCUGUCCCUUUGGUGGGUGGGUUGACGGUAGCUGGAUAAGAAGCGCCGGCUAACUACGUG